CUGGCAGGAGCGGAAGGGAUUAAUGGCUGCUGGCAGCUGCAGCAAGGGCUCGGGGAAGGCAGAGCUCCCGCAGCCUCGCAGACAUAACUCACACCAGAUGCCUCUGCUGCGGGUUCUCUCUCUGCCCCCCGCCGCGAUAACGAUGAUGAUUUAUUAGCACAGAGAGAGCAGCACCCUCUCCCCCAGCGCUGUGCUGUCUCUGCAGCCCGGGCUCUUAUUAAUGCUCCUCAUCCCUCCCCUUUCAGAGAGAGCAACGGCACGAGGCGCAGGAGAAGCUGUUGCCUGGAGAUCAGACCGUGACGCCGAUACCCAGACUGUGCCGUUUCCCCGAGCGUUAUUAACCAAACCCGUGGGGUUUCGGCGUGGAUUUUUGGCUGAAUCCCAGCCUGCCUUUUGGACCCGACGUGUCACACACCACCCAGGACGGGUGACAAGCCCUGCCCGGCGGUUCGCUCAGCGGUCGGCACGUCGCAGCAAACCCACCACCAGCACCAUUUGCCUCCAGCACUUCACAGAUACAGGCUGAGCCUGGACCAGAAAUAACAGCACCCCCUCUCCCACACGUUUAUGUCAUCUCUGCCUCCGCACCAACACGCGGCCCCACAGGCGCCGAAGGAAAAGCCCCGCUCGCUCGGGACUUGUGUCUUGCUCUCUGGCCCACGGGCUCAACCAAAUCCUGAUGGAGAGAACCUUCCCGGGUGACACAGACCCACUCCUCUGGUCUGCUACAAAGCUGAUCUCGGAAAUUUGCAUGGCAGGAUCCCCGGGAGCCCUCCGAUCUGUCACGGAGCAUCACAGAGUGAAUCACAGAAUGACAUGGGGUUGGAAGGGACCUCUGGAGAUCAUCCAGUCCAACCCCCUGCCAGAGCAGAGCCACCCAGAGCAGGUCCCACAGGAUCUGUGCUCUCCCAGGCUGAAGGGUGACAAAGAGAGCCAAGGCUCAGAAUACUGGAAGUGAUGUUUAAAAAUAAGAAAUAGAAGCAAAGCCUUUCCUGCCAGCUCUUACUGUGCUUCAGGAGAAGGAAACGUUUCCCUGGGUGAUAGACGAAGGGGUGUUUCUUCCAGCAGCGUCCCACGGCAGCCCCAUAACUGGCUCUGGGUAUUACCUUUGGGGAUGUCAAGCACCGAGGGAGCCAAACAGCUUAAAAGUCACUUUCUGACUCUUCGCCCCAUGGGAUUCCUCUCCAGCUCGGGGCUGAGGUUCACUGCGGAGAGAUGACAGAAGAAAAGUUUGAUUUCCUGGAGCUAUUGGUGAACCUGCCCCAUUGACUAACGGAGCUGCAACACACCAAACUGCAAAGGUGCUUCAGGUUGCCAGCGUUAAAUUCCACCCCCCUUUCUUUACUAAUAGAAAAAAACUAAGCUGAAUGCUACUCCAGCACCAUUUUGAGUCUGUCUGUCCCAGACUGACAAUCCUCUCAGCGUUCACUGUCACCCCAGGAAGAGGAUCUGACACAGUCCAUACAGGAGAUGUAUUUUUAGGGGCGGGUAAUGAGCUGAUGGCUGUUUGUCCCCUCCAACAGCCAGAGGAGCACAGGUGGCUCUGAGAAUCCUUCUUCUCCAUUCCAGUCACAGUCAGGCCAGACUGGAGCCCGCAGAUGAAAUGGAAAUGCUAUUUUCAUCUACGUCGAAACACAUUUUUGAGCUUCUGAUGGAGAGGGAGAGGUGCUGGGUCACGUUCAGGGAUGUGUGACUGUGGAGCUGCUCCGGGCCAGCAGCUACAGAAAGGUAUUAGGAGAGAGGACUGGAACCAAAUUAACCUUUCCAAGAAAUUAGCUUACCGUCUUCUAAUCAGAACUGGGUUCAAGCCUUGGGGUUUGGAAAGGAUCAUGCUAAUAGAUUUUUUCACCAUUCCUACUUUUGAGUCAUUUCUGACCUCCAGCUGAGGGGAAGGGUUUCACGGGGGCAGGGGGUAUCGCAGAACUGACCCACACGCAGUGAUGAGACCUUCCCCCAUUCCAAUACAUCCAGCCUAUUUACUAGAAAAAGUAAAAAUAAGCAGAUAAAAAAAUUCCAUGAGAACCACCAGAGGUCAGAUACAGACUCAAAAAUUCAGGAUCCAGGUCGGAUAUAUUCAUAUUUGGGGCAGGACUCACAGACUGCUGUUAGCAAAGCCCUGACUGUGCUACUGCUGUGAAUGGGAGACUUAAAAUGUCAUUUUUUGAACGUUUAGAUACAAAACUCUGUGGGGAAGAUGGAGGUGCCAUUGCCACAAAUGCACAACCACUUGUUCCCAAUCCAGCUGUGAGGCUUGGAGACCUCUGCUUGGUUACAGGGGGUGGAAAAGGAAGGGCAAGAAAUGCGUGAUGCAGAAGGGAGUUCUGCUCUUCCCAGCUUGUACUGGGAUAAUUUCCAAGGAGCUUGAACCUUUUCAGACCAAGGGAUUUCCAUCUGCUUACACCAGCAAUACAUUUUGACCUUGGUCUCUGGUUUGGCCAAUUAGGAAUCUGAAAUCAGAAUUAGUGGAAUGAAAAACAAAAUGUUUGUGGAUCCAGUUUGCUGUUAAUUUAAGCAUCACCAUUUAAGCAAGCGGGGCCUCAGUGCUCUGUGGAAAAGAUCUUCCACAACAGAGUAACAGCAAAUUGAGGGGAGGCAGUUUCCGUCUCAGCUAAGGAGAGAAAAUGACCAAAAUGCCUGUUCCUAGGACAUAAAAGCUGCAAUUACAAGCUCAUUAUUUAAGCAGUGUAUAUUUCUGAUGCUUAAUCUUCCCGGAUUCAGUCAGACGCUUUGGAAACCUUUCAGAAAGGAUCCUCAAAAACUCAGCGGGUCUGAGCCAUUUUGAAUAUUUUACUCUACAUUCCUCAGAACAGAUUUAAAUAAAUUAUAUUAUAACCUCUGUAUUUUAAUAAUU
This 2851-nucleotide long non-coding RNA is filed under the name Calidris pugnax (ruff). RNAcentral's name for it is "lncRNA (ENSCPUG00000008286.1)". The record is from RNAcentral. Lineage: Eukaryota; Metazoa; Chordata; Aves; Charadriiformes; Scolopacidae.